This 253-nucleotide ribosomal RNA is filed under the name uncultured bacterium. RNAcentral's name for it is "partial 16S ribosomal RNA". It matches the Rfam family "Bacterial small subunit ribosomal RNA", at positions 524 to 776 of the family's 1533-position model. The record is from RNAcentral.
UACGUAGGGGGCGAGCGUUGUGCGGAAUCAUUGGGCGUAAAGCGCGCGCAGGCGGUUUCUUAAGUCUGGUGUGAAAGCCCGGGGCUCAACCGCGGAACUGCAUUGGAUACUGGGAGGCUUGAGUGCCGGAGAGGGAAGUGGAAUUCCCGGUGUAGCGGUGAAAUUCGUAGAUAUAGGGAGGAGCACCAGUGGCGAAGGCGGCUAUCUGGUCUGUGACUGACGCUGAGACGAGAAAGCGUGGGGAGCAAACAGG